This 456-nucleotide unclassified non-coding RNA is filed under the name Hevea brasiliensis (rubber tree). The record is from RNAcentral. Lineage: Eukaryota; Viridiplantae; Streptophyta; Magnoliopsida; Malpighiales; Euphorbiaceae.
AUUGAAGCAAUAACCAUAGAUUCAUCAUCUUGUGAGGCAGUUAUCGUCUCCAUGCUAACUGGUUCACCACCCUCUUCCAGUUGAUGAGCAGGCGUUAGUGAUGGUGGAGGUGGAGGCACUGCAGCCACUGCCAGUGGAGGAGACGGCGGAAGCACCCAGAAAGGGUAAUAAAAAUUGGUACGAGCUCUUUCAAUGCCACUAAAGGAGAUAGAAGAUAGAUCGUAAGCUAUAGCAGCUUCUUCAGCAGUGUCAAAUGUGCCAAGCCAGUGUCUUUCUUUGGUAUAUGGAUUUCGAAUCUCCGCAGCAUACCUCCUCCAUGGCCGCCGGCGGACACCAAGGUAUCUGCUGGAUUGCCUGGAGCUCCUUCUUGGGUUCCUGUAAAGCAGUGAAGGGAGAUUCUCCAUGCUUGGUAUAUUGCUGUUGGCUUUUAGUGAGAUCUUCCUCCUUGUGGCCCCG